Molecule: non-coding RNA, 82 nt
Organism: Echinostoma caproni
Lineage: Eukaryota; Metazoa; Platyhelminthes; Trematoda; Plagiorchiida; Echinostomatidae
Source: Rfam
AGCCUCGUAGCUCAGCUGGUAGAGCGUGCGCGUACGAAGCGUAGGCGGCGUCCAUGCGUGGGUUCAAAUCCCACCGAGGUUA